Molecule: ribosomal RNA, 1485 nt
Filed under: Triticum aestivum (bread wheat)
Lineage: Eukaryota; Viridiplantae; Streptophyta; Magnoliopsida; Poales; Poaceae
Description: partial small subunit ribosomal RNA
Source: RNAcentral
AUGAUUAGCUCCAAUAUUCUUGUUUGGAAUGUGAGGGAACUGAACAACCCAGCUUGCCGUGGGGUUGUCAGAAGAGUUGUUUUACUGCAUAAUCCUGCGAUUAUCUGCUUGCAAGAAUCAAAGCUAUCUGUUGUAGACCGGCCAACCAUCAGUCAAAUUUGUGGCCCUAGAUGCACUGAAUUCCUUUUUCAGCCUGCCAUUGGAACAAGGGGUGGAAUCAUUAUUGCUUGGGAUCCUGAGGUUGUGGAUGUUGCACUUAUUGAUUGCCAAAAGUCGUUUGUUGCUGUGGACUGCUGCUGGAGACUGACGGAUUCGAGAUUCAGACUUGUCACGGUGUAUGGACCUCAGUCUGAUGCAGAUAAACUGAUAUUCUUGGAUGACUUGAGACCGCUGUACUCCUCAAAUUUGCCUUGCAUUUUCACUGGGGACUUCAACCUUAUUGCCGAGGCCACUGACAAGAACAACAACAACUUGAACAGAAGAACAAUGGCUGCAUUCAGAAGAUUUAUCAACGAACUUGAGCUGCGAGAGAUGUACUUGCAUGGAAGAAAAUACACUUGGACCAACGAGCAGCAGAACGCAACAAAGGUCAAAUUGGACAGGGUUCUCUUCAAUGACCCGUGGAUGUUGGCAUAUCCUUGCUGCAUCCUUGCCGCUCUUGCUACGGAUCUUUCCGAUCACUGCCCCUUGCUACUUUCAACUGAUGCAACCUUUCAGCCACCGAGACACUUCCGAUUUGAUAAUUACUGGACUACUUUUGGGGGCUUCUCCCAGGUGGUCCUCGAUUGCUGGUCGCAGCCCACAAUGUGUUCCGACCCUUACCUCAGGUUGCACUGCAAACUUACUAGAACAGCCAGGUCCCUAAGGAAAUGGAGCUCUACCCACAUUGGUGAUCUCAGGCUUUGCGCUGCAAUCUCUAGUGAGCUGAUCGGUAUGUUCGAUGCUGCUCUAGAUGACAGAGACCUAACCGAUGGGGAGAGACAGCUAAGGUCUGCCCUCAAGAUGAAUCUGCUGGGGAUUGUAGCUAUGCAGCGUGCUCACAGCCGACAACGGUCGAGGAUUGACUGGUUAAAAGAUGGUGACACUAACACAGCAUUCUUCCAAGCCAAGGCAUCGGCUAGACGCCAAAAAAUUUUUGUGCUAAGUUUAACGCACAAUGAUAGGGUGCUCAUUGCUCAAGAGGAUAAGUUGAAUGCGGUUUGGGAGCACUUCUCCUCUGUUUUGGGGUCUAAAACUCAGAGAGGCUGCAGUAUUAAUUUCAACGCCCUUGGGAUUGCCCCCGUCGAUCUAUCAAGUAUUGAGAGUGCUUUUACAGAAGAAGAGGUGAAGGCUGCGGUUAUGGACAUGAACCCCAGGAAAGCCCCCGGGCCCAAUGGCUACACUGCACUGUUUUUCCAGAGUUGUUGGGACAUUAUAAAGAAAAAGGCCAGAUGCACAAGAAGCAAGAGACUACAGACCAAUCAGUUUGCUUUCGUUCUUUGCUAA